UACAGAGGGUGCAAGCGUUAAUCGGAAUUACUGGGCGUAAAGCGUGUGUAGGUGGUUUGCUAAGUCAGGUGUGAAAUCCCUGGGCUCAACCUAGGAAUUGCAUUUGAUACUGGCGAGCUAGAGUGUGGAAGAGGAUAGUGGAAUUCCCGGUGUAGCGGUGAAAUGCGUAGAUAUCGGGAGGAACAUCAGUGGCGAAGGCGGCUAUCUGGUCCAACACUGACACUGAGACACGAAAGCGUGGGGAGCAAACAGG
Molecule: ribosomal RNA, 253 nt
Filed under: uncultured bacterium
Lineage: Bacteria
Description: partial 16S ribosomal RNA
Rfam family: Bacterial small subunit ribosomal RNA
Source: RNAcentral